RNAcentral lists this ribosomal RNA (256 nucleotides) under uncultured bacterium. Its description in RNAcentral is "partial 16S ribosomal RNA". It matches the Rfam family "Bacterial small subunit ribosomal RNA", at positions 526 to 779 of the family's 1533-position model. The record is from RNAcentral.
CAGAGGGUGCGAGCGUUGUCCGGAAUCACUGGGCGUAAAGGGCGCGUAGGCGGCCGAUCAAGUGUGUGGUGAAAGCCCCGGGGCUCAACCCCGGGUCGUGCCGUGCAAACUGGUUGGCUUGAGCACUGUAGAGGCAGGUGGAAUUCCGGGUGUAGCGGUGGAAUGCGUAGAGAUCCGGAAGAACACCGGUGGCGAAGGCGGCCUGCUGGGCAGUAGCUGACGCUGAGGCGCGACAGCGUGGGGAGCAAACAGGAUU